RNAcentral lists this ribosomal RNA (305 nucleotides) under uncultured bacterium. RNAcentral's name for it is "bacterial SSU rRNA". It matches the Rfam family "Bacterial small subunit ribosomal RNA", at positions 334 to 637 of the family's 1533-position model. The record is from RNAcentral.
ACUUCCUACGGGGGGCGGCAGUGAGGAAUAUUGGUCAAUGGUCGGGAGACUGAACCAACCAAGCCGCGUGAGGGAGGAAGGUACAGAGUAUCGUAAACCUCUUUUGUCAGGGAACAAAGACUGGGACGCGUCCCCGGAUGAGUGUACCUGAAGAAAAAGCAUCGGCUAACUCCGUGCCAGCAGCCGCGGUAAUACGGAGGAUGCGAGCGUUAUCCGGAUUUAUUGGGUUUAAAGGGUGCGUAGGCGGACUGGUAAGUCAGCGGUAAAAUCGAGAGGCUCAACCUCUUUCCGCCGUUGAAACUGUG